This 460-nucleotide ribosomal RNA is filed under the name uncultured bacterium. Its description in RNAcentral is "partial 16S ribosomal RNA". It matches the Rfam family "Bacterial small subunit ribosomal RNA", at positions 338 to 795 of the family's 1533-position model. The record is from RNAcentral.
CCUACGGGAGGCUGCAGUGAGGAAUAUUGGUCAAUGGACGAGAGUCUGAACCAGCCAAGUCGCGUGAAGGAUGACUGCCCUAUGGGUUGUAAACUUCUUUUAUCUGGGAAUAAAACGUUCCACGUGUGGGAUUUUGUAUGUACCGUAGGAAUAAGGAUCGGCUAACUCCGUGCCAGGACCCGCGGUAAUACGGAGGGUCGGAGCGUUAUCCGGAUUUAUUGGGGUUAAAGGGAGCGUAGGUGGAUUUUUAAGUCCGUUGUGAAAGUUUGCGGGUAAACCGUAAAAUUGCAGUUGAAACUGGCAGUCUUGAGUACAGUAGAGGUGGGCGGAAUUCGUGGUGUAGCGGUGAAAUGCUUAGAUAUCACGAAGAACCCCGAUUGCGAAGGCAGCUCACUGGACUGCAACUGACACUGAGGCUCGAAAGUGUGGGUAUCAAACAGGAUUAGAUACCCGGGUAGUC